This 196-nucleotide ribosomal RNA is filed under the name uncultured Gammaproteobacteria bacterium. RNAcentral's name for it is "partial 16S ribosomal RNA". It matches the Rfam family "Bacterial small subunit ribosomal RNA", at positions 338 to 526 of the family's 1533-position model. The record is from RNAcentral. Lineage: Bacteria; Pseudomonadati; Pseudomonadota; Gammaproteobacteria.
CCUACGGGAGGCAGCAGUGGGGAAUAUUGGACAAUGGGCGAAAGCCUGAUCCAGCCAUGCCGCGUGUGUGAAGAAGGUCUUCGGAUUGUAAAGCACUUUAAGUUGGGAGGAAGGGCAGUUACCUAAUACGUGAUUGUUUUGACGUUACCGACAGAAUAAGCACCGGCUAACUCUGUGCCAGCAGCCGCGGUAAUAC